RNAcentral lists this long non-coding RNA (653 nucleotides) under Betta splendens (Siamese fighting fish). RNAcentral's name for it is "lncRNA (ENSBSLG00000001517.1)". The record is from RNAcentral. Lineage: Eukaryota; Metazoa; Chordata; Actinopteri; Anabantiformes; Osphronemidae.
UUCAGUUUCCGCUGUAGCGAGUUAUGGCUCAUAGAAGAGGAGAAAAACAUUUUCGCUCAGGAGUUGGAGCAGAAAACUUGCAGUUUUCGGACCAUUGUGGAUGUACCGUGUCUUUUGGACCGAAACGGUUUACUGGAUUAUAUUCCCUGGACCAUAACGGACAGAAUGACACCAAACACAACGUGAAUGGACGAUGUAUGGGGUUCAGACGUCAAACACGAAGGAAGGAUGAGUGACAGUGUCCCCGCCGCCCCAGCUCUCCAUAUGGGUGGGUGGGACUUCGCGACUGGCGAAGCGGCGUCCCGAAAUCGCCCAUCUGCAACUUUGCAGGUCUGCUCAAACCCUGGGAGAGAACACUGCAUCGCCACCCAGGGCCAGCCGCCACUAUUACAGUUCUUCCGCGAGGACCCGUUGAAGAGUGAGGAAAUGAGGAGAAAGACAAAAAGAGAGUAAAUGUGAAAAAUGCAAUCUCUCAGACAGAAAACAGCGACUAUAAAGGCAGCUCAAUCAGGUGAGGAUGUAAAGCAUGUAAGUGUAGGCAGGAAGACAAACUGUGAUGCGAGGUUGUCAAAAAAAACAAACAAAUAAUUGUUAUCAAAAUUCAGCAAAAUAUAAUCAUAAGAACAAUAAACGCAGUACAGGAUGGUGGAGCA